This is a long non-coding RNA of Empidonax traillii (willow flycatcher), 280 nucleotides long. RefSeq lists it as uncharacterized. The transcript is spliced from 3 exons. Lineage: Eukaryota; Metazoa; Chordata; Aves; Passeriformes; Tyrannidae. The record is from RefSeq and is a predicted model, not a curated record.
GGGGGGGGAGGAAGGCGGUGAGGGCGGCCCCCGCGGCCCCUCGCAGCCCCUCCGCCUCGGCAGCAUGGGAGCGGGCGGCCGCGCCGGCAGAGAUAAAAUUGCGAGUGUAGGAAUCCGAGAUAAAGCGAAGGCAGAUCUAACCCGAGUCAGUGUGGGCAGUGCGAGCGGAUGAUUUGCAAAGUGAAGAAGCUGUCCAGGCUGGGCAGCUUCUGGCUAUCUCAGUAUUGGUUUUGAAAAAAUUGUGGUCGAUUUUAAACCCAUGAGCCCUGAAGUUGUAAUG